Acanthosepion pharaonis is the source of this 101-nucleotide non-coding RNA. The record is from the annotation of a GenBank genome assembly. Lineage: Eukaryota; Metazoa; Mollusca; Cephalopoda; Sepiida; Sepiidae.
AUCACGGAAAUACCGGUUCACGUAUAAUCACUGAAGUGAAGGAUCGUCAAGCCUGGUUAGUACCGAGGUAGGUGACUGCUAGGGAAUACCAGAUGCUGUAA